CUCAGUCACAAAAACCCUAAGAACUCUGAAAUCCAAAGCACCAUCAGUGGAUAUUUGAGCUAUCUACCUCGAAACCAUUGUAAAGAAAUCAAAAUACAUGUGAAAGUUGAUAUAAGCUUUACAAAUGUGAAGCCUUAUACCAUAAGCAGGU
Rosa chinensis is the source of this 151-nucleotide long non-coding RNA. RefSeq lists it as uncharacterized. Lineage: Eukaryota; Viridiplantae; Streptophyta; Magnoliopsida; Rosales; Rosaceae. The record is from RefSeq and is a predicted model, not a curated record. The transcript has 3 exons.